GUAGUCAUAUGCUUGUCUCAAAGAUUAAGCCAUGCAUGUCUAAGUAUAAGCAAUCUAUACGGUGAAACUGCGAAUGGCUCAUUAAAUCAGUUAUCGUUUAUUUGAUAGUACCUUACUACUUGGAUAACCGUGGUAGUUCUAGAGCUAAUACAUGCUAAAAACCUCGACUUCGGAAGGGGUGUAUUUAUUAGAUAAAAAACCAAUGCCCUUCGGGGCCCCUUGGUGAUUCAUAAUAACUUAACGAAUCGCAUGGCCUUGUGCCGGCGAUGGUUCAUUCAAAUUUCUGCCCUAUCAACUUUCGAUGGUAGGAUAGUGGCCUACCAUGGUUUCAACGGGUAACGGGGAAU
RNAcentral lists this ribosomal RNA (347 nucleotides) under uncultured fungus. Its description in RNAcentral is "SSU rRNA". It matches the Rfam family "Eukaryotic small subunit ribosomal RNA", at positions 20 to 370 of the family's 1831-position model. Lineage: Eukaryota; Fungi. The record is from RNAcentral.